Molecule: ribosomal RNA, 432 nt
Filed under: uncultured bacterium
Lineage: Bacteria
Description: partial 16S ribosomal RNA
Rfam family: Bacterial small subunit ribosomal RNA
Source: RNAcentral
AACGAACGCUGGCGGCAUGCCUAACACGUGCAAGUCGAACGAGACCUUCGGGUCUAGUGGCGCACGGGUGCGUAACGCGUGGGAACCUGCCCUUAGGUUCGGAAUAACUCCCCGAAAGGGGUGCUAAUACAGGAUAAUGUCUUCGGACCAAAGAUUUAUCGCCUUUGGAUGGGCCCGCGUUGGAUUGGCUAGUUGGUAGGGUAAAAGCCUACCAAGGCGACGAUCCAUAGCUGGUCUGAGAGGAUGAUCAGCCACACUGGGACUGAGACACGGCCAGACUCCUACGGAAGGCAGCAGUGGGGAAUAUUGGACGAUGGGCGAAAGCCUGAUCCAGCAAUGCCGCGUGAGUGAUGAAGGCCUUAGGGUUGUAAAUCUCUUUUACCCGGGAUGAUAAUGACAGUACCGGGAGAAUAAGCUCCGGCUAACUCCGUG